This 398-nucleotide ribosomal RNA is filed under the name uncultured bacterium. RNAcentral's name for it is "partial 16S ribosomal RNA". It matches the Rfam family "Bacterial small subunit ribosomal RNA", at positions 523 to 918 of the family's 1533-position model. The record is from RNAcentral.
AUACGUAGGGUGCGAGCGUUGUCCGGAAUUACUGGGCGUAAAGAGCUCGUAGGUGGUUUGUCGCGUCGUCUGUGAAAUUCCGGGGCUUAACUCCGGGCGUGCAGGCGAUACGGGCAUAACUUGAGUACUGUAGGGGAGACUGGAAUUCCUGGUGUAGCGGUGAAAUGCGCAGAUAUCAGGAGGAACACCGGUGGCGAAGGCGGUUCGCUGGGCAGUAACUGACGCUGAGGAGCGAAAGCAUGGGUAGCGAACAGGAUUAGAUACCCUGGUAGUCCAUGCCGUAAACGGUGGGCGCUAGGUGUAGGGGUCUUCCACGACUUCUGUGCCGUAGCUAACGCAUUAAGCGCCCCGCCUGGGGAGUACGGCCGCAAGGCUAAAACUCAAAGGAAUUGACGGGG